RNAcentral lists this ribosomal RNA (1629 nucleotides) under Triticum aestivum (bread wheat). RNAcentral's name for it is "partial small subunit ribosomal RNA". The record is from RNAcentral. Lineage: Eukaryota; Viridiplantae; Streptophyta; Magnoliopsida; Poales; Poaceae.
AUGCAGGCUAGGCCCGCCGCCGCUCCGCUCUCGGCUCCCGCCCCUCCCAACGAUUCCGCCGCCGCCGCCGCAGUAAUCUCAAUCCUCAGCGACGCGGACCCCGACGACCGCCUUCGCGCGUCCGGCAUCAGCCCGGACCCCGCCCUGUUCCCGCAUCUCCGCCGGUCGCUCACCACCCUCCCGGAGUCCGCGUUCCCCGCGCUCGCCCGCUGGGCCGGCUCCGCCGCCGCCGUCUCCCUCCUCGCCUCCCGCGGCUUCUUCGCGGCCUCCUGGCGCCUCCUCCUCCUCCACUCGCCUUCGUCUCCGCCCCCUCCCCUUGCCGCCUUCGCCCCGCUCGUCCGCCGCUACGCCCGCCUCGGCCGCGCCUCCGCGGCCCUCCGCGCCUUCCACUUCCUCCGCCGCAACCCCGACCGCUACACGGUCGAUGGCGACGGCUCGCCCGCCGCCACCUCCCUCCUAAACAUGGCUGUCGGGGCGCUCUGCAAGGAGGGUCACCCGCGCCCGGCCGCCAAACUCGUCGAGCGGUGCCGGCGUGAGGGGGAGCUCGCGCCCGAUGAACGGACCUACAACAUGCUCCUCGACGGCUGGUCCGGCGCCCGCCGGCUGGACAAGGUCGGGAAGCUCUGGGCAGAGAUGCGCGUGGCCGGCGUGCGGCCGACGGUGGUCUCCUACGGGACUCUCAUCAAGGCGGUUUGUCGGAUGCAGCAGCCGGACCAGGCAAUGUCUCUCCUCGACGAGAUGCGGAAGGAGGGGAUCGAGGCGAAUCUCGUUACCUGCAACCCCAUCGUGCACGCCCUGGCUCACGCCGGCCGAUUUCGGGACGCAUACAACCUGCUCGAGAAAUUUCCUCUCUACGGGGUGGCGCCUAAUAUCUCGACAUUCAACUCGCUCGUGUUGGCUUACUGCAAAUAUGGAGACCUUGCCGGGGCAAGCGGUGUGCUCAAGGCCAUGAUGGGGAGGGGCAUCUUGCCAACGGCAAAAACGUACAAUUACUUCUUCGUGUUCUUUGCCAAGACCGGCAAUGUUGAGCUGGGGAUGAAUCUUUAUAACAAGAUGGUCAACAAUGGUUAUGCGCCGGACAAGACCACUUACAACCUCCUGGUCAAGAUGUUGUGCGAGGCUAAUCGGCUUGAAUUAGUGGUGCAGAUGAUAAAGGAGAUGAAGGUUAAUGGUUUUGAGGCUGAUCUGGCAACAAGCACCAUGCUGAUACAUUUGCUUUGCCGAAGUCAUCGGUUUGAGGAAGCAUGUGCUGAGUUUGAGGACAUGUUUCGUAGAGGGCACGUGCCCCAGUAUAUCACUUACAGGAUGCUUAUGAAAGAGCUCAAGCGGCUGGGUUUGGUUCAACUGGAAGAGAAGUUGACCGACCUAAUGCGCUCAGUACCACAUUCUACAAAGUUGCCUGGCAGCUACAGAGAAAAGGAAGGCGACAACGCUAUAGAAAAGAGAAAAUUAAUAUUGGAGAAAGCUCAGGCUGUUUCCAAUGUUCUGAAGGAGUGUAAAGAUCCGAAGGAGUUGCAGAAGCUAAAAGAUGAUGAAGAAACUGAUGUCCAGGUCGCAGAUAGGAUAGUCGCCAACAUUAGAAAAAGAGUAUAUGGGGGUGUCUCUAGGUUAGCCUCUCCACUUCCUUGA